Molecule: long non-coding RNA, 1750 nt
Organism: Pygocentrus nattereri (red-bellied piranha)
Lineage: Eukaryota; Metazoa; Chordata; Actinopteri; Characiformes; Serrasalmidae
Source: Ensembl
AAGACAGUAAGAGAGUGGCUGUGCCUGGGUUGAUUUUUUGAGUGUGUGUUUGUAUGGAUAUUGUAUUAUAGACUGCACAUUUGCCUCAAGCUAUAAUAAGUCAAUAAUUUAUGAGCUCCUGUGUGUUGUGUGGAUAGUCUGUGUGUGUGGGGGUGAGUGCAGUUUGAAAGGUGGGAUGUCAUAUUUCAACAUUUCAGCAGAGCUUUGAAGGAAGAUGAGUCUGAUGGAAGAGAAAAAAGCAAAAGAACAACACAAAGGCAAAAAAAGAAAAGAGGGCAAAAAUAUCCACACUGCUGGUCCAGCCAGAGAGGCCGGCAGCAGGUUGAUGUCAAGAGAAAGGCUUCCUCUUAUAGGAUCUUCCAGAACUACAGAGAGAUCCACUCAUCCGCGUCCCACUGAGGGUGGGAAUAAGAAGCGUGCCCGCCCCUCUCUCAAUGCUGUUUUCCAAGACAGAAUGGCACCCUGGGAAGGCUCCUCCCACUCUGAUUCCUUUUUCACCAGCAUUCCACCUCCUCCUCCUGCACCACCACCUCCCCCUGCACCACCUCCACCAAUCUCAUCAACUGACCCUCCGUCACCUCCACCACAGCCAAUCAGAGACACGCAGCCUGAAAGUGGCAAAAGUGCUCCAGUGAAACGAAAGAUCCUUCCACCCCGAUGGCCCCCCAAACCCCCACGUCUGCCUCCGUUACGACAAGUCACAAAUCUCAGUUUUUCAAGAAGUUUUACAUUUUCAUUUUUUGAACUGCCUUUUCAUCAGUCAGCACGAAGUCGAGCAGAGCAGCUCAAAGAUCUUGUAGCGCUGCUGAAGCAGAUACAGUACUGAGUGGAAUGAACUCCCUUUACAUUUUCACUAGAUGUAGGAAAGUAUAAGGACAAAAUACUCGUUUAGGGAUGCACUGAUCAUGAUGUUUUGUCUGAUUUCUUUACAGCCAAAUUGGCUGUUGGAAAAUUUUUCACAUAUGGAUAGUUACAAUGCACAUACAUUAUUUCCUUUUUAAAGGGCCAAACUGAGAUUUUAAAUUAUUAAAUGAAAAAUUAAACACCUAUGUAAUAACACAAAUCAAAUAAAGUGCUCCAUUAGAGGUAUGAGACAACUGUGUACUGGCUGAUUUGCAUAAUGAGUGAUGUAUUGUUAUGCUAUAACAUUGUGGUACAGGUGUAGCAGCAGAAUUCAUGUACACGUGCACUUAUAUGCAAGUGGACUUACCUAGCUCACAUUAUUUACAUCAUAACACUGGCCACAAUGAAAAAUAUCAAUUAGCCUAUUGCUUAUUGUGUGUUUGAAACAAAAAUCUGCCGAUUCCAGUCUUGUUCGAUUCUGAUCAUGCAUCCCUACUCACGUUUAUUCUCGGAAUGAACCCCCAGUGCCCAGUGUCCUGUGUAUGUAUUCUUAAAUUACAGUUUGCAUUACAAAGUUUGCUUAGUUAGCUAAUUAGUUAAAUGAGAUUAGCCUAGUCACUGCAAAGUGUAUCCCAUUAAAAAUCUGCAAUGCAUUGUCCCUUGUAUGACUUCUAGUGACCCUAGGACCCCUACCUUGAUUUUAGCUACCCUUUUGUAAACUUCCUUUAUGUAUGAUGUUGCAGUUUAAUGUGUUAUAUAAAGAGCCCAGGGAAUGAACAGGCCUGGGAACAUAGGUACACUCCCAUUAGCAGUCUAGAACGGUAGAAAGCCUAUUUGAAAUACAUCUGGUAUUGAGACCUAUACUGUCGCUUCAGAUUACGUUAGCUCCCAUAAUUGUAUGUUGCUG